RNAcentral lists this ribosomal RNA (450 nucleotides) under uncultured bacterium. RNAcentral's name for it is "partial 16S ribosomal RNA". It matches the Rfam family "Bacterial small subunit ribosomal RNA", at positions 354 to 796 of the family's 1533-position model. The record is from RNAcentral.
GUGGGGAAUCUUCCGCAAUGGACGAAAGUCUGACGGAGCAACACCGCGUGAGUGAAGAAGGUUUUCGGAUCGUAAAGCUCUUUCGUUAGGGACGAACGUGCUCUUUGUGAAUAAUGAGGAGUAAUGACGGUACCUAAAUAAGAAGCCACGGCUAACUACGUGCCAGCAGCCGCGGUAAUACGUAGGUGGCAAGCGUUGUCCGGAAUUAUUGGGCGUAAAGCGCGCGCAGGCGGGAUAUCAAGUCUGUCUUAAAAGUGCGAGGCUCAACCUCGUGAGGGGACAGAAACUGGUAUUCUUGAGUGUCGGAGAGGAAAGUGGAAUUCCAAGUGUAGCGGUGAAAUGCGUAGAGAUUUGGAAGAACACCAGUGGCGAAGGCGACUUUCUGGACGAUGUCUGACGCUGAGGCGCGAAAGCUAGGGGAGCGAACGGGAUUAGAAACCCUGGUAGUCC